RNAcentral lists this ribosomal RNA (301 nucleotides) under uncultured bacterium. Its description in RNAcentral is "partial 16S ribosomal RNA". It matches the Rfam family "Bacterial small subunit ribosomal RNA", at positions 509 to 810 of the family's 1533-position model. The record is from RNAcentral.
CAGUAGCCGCGGGAAUACGUAGGGUCCGAGCGUUGUCCGGAAUUAUUGGGCGUAAAGGGCUCGUAGGCGGUUUGUCGCGUCGGGAGUGAAAACCAGCAGCUUAACUGCUGGCCUGCUUUCGAUACGGGCAGACUUGAGGCAUUCAGGGGAGAACGGAAUUCCUGGUGUAGCGGUGAAAUGCGCAGAUAUCAGGAGGAACACCGGUGGCGAAGGCGGUUCUCUGGGAAUGUUCUGACGCUGAGGAGCGAAAGUGUGGGGAGCGAACAGGAUUAGAUACCCCCGUCCCUGUCUCUUAUACACA